GAUCGAUUAGUCCUCUGGACUUUGGAGCUUUUGUGCUUCCCUAUCUCAGAGUUCUUCCAUCAGCCCACGAACGAUGCCAUGGGGAAGCUGGUCAGAGGAGCAUCACUGCUCUGUCCUCAAUUUUCCAGCACAACUGAGGAUGAUUUAAAAACCGAGGCACAGCCAAGACCUUUCCUCCUCCUGUGCUCAUCAAGCAAUCACCGCUCAUCACCCCUCUGCUUCAAACACCUCAUUUGCAUCUGGCUGACCUUGACUCCCCUCUGUGGAUGGGAAGAUGAAGAGGUGGAAGUGUAAAAGAUUGGAAUUUUAUGGUGGGGACAGCAGGUGGGAGCUUUCCAAGCCAGACAAAGGAGACCUGACAAGGAACUGUGGUGAAGGGACAAGCCCAAGGCAAGGAAGUGUCCGGUCGCCUCCUCUCCUGGAACAGGCAGCAGAGACCUGGAGAGACAGGAGACAUCUUGCAAGACUCAACACCUGGAGCAGUGCUAACCAGGCAAGGAGCAGCUCUGUUGCUAUCAGGAUUGUGAUCUUUUUUUCUCUCUCUGUUUGUGUGUUCAUGUAGUUUUGUUGUGUUCAUAAGGGUAAAUGAACAACUGGUUUGGGGAAGGAAGAUCAGUGUGUUUUCCUUAAAUGUUAAAGGAAAACCCCACCAGAGAGCUGUUUGGGCUGGGGUUGUUUGCUGUUUGGAAUGCAGAGCUCUGUUUCUGAGGGGGAGAGGGCUCAGCUAUGCAUUUAUCCCAUUUUGUGCUCUGUAGCCUUCCCUGUGUUUUUGAGAGGGCUGGGGCAGCUGCCUGCUGCAGGGAGGGGAUGUGGGGAGCACACAGAUAAUUUGUAUGUGGUGCUUCCUGAUAAAAUCAAUGCCAGGGUGUGUAUCAGUCAGGAGAAAAGGGUUGGAGAAAACCAGGUGUGAGACUGUGCCAGCAGGGCAGAGCAGCAGGUUUGGGGAGAGUUAUGGCUCCUGUAAGGAGCUUUGCUGCAGCUGAUGGUGGUGGAGGUGGGAAAGGACAAAGUUUUCCAGGGUGAACUUGAAUCUUCCAGGUGAGAGGAAUCAAACCCAAGCAGGACUUUACUGGGGGUGUGGAGACAAAACAAGAAACUGGAAUAAAUUGGGUCCUAGCUGCCUUUCCUGUCA
Molecule: long non-coding RNA, 1132 nt
Filed under: Cyanistes caeruleus (blue tit)
Lineage: Eukaryota; Metazoa; Chordata; Aves; Passeriformes; Paridae
Description: lncRNA (ENSCCEG00000021579.1)
Source: RNAcentral